Molecule: long non-coding RNA, 213 nt
Filed under: Elaeis guineensis (African oil palm)
Lineage: Eukaryota; Viridiplantae; Streptophyta; Magnoliopsida; Arecales; Arecaceae
Description: long non-coding RNA (EGUI_LNC004254)
Source: RNAcentral
AGCACCAUCUCUUUUCCUUGAUGGAAGGUCAUUAGUUUUAUCAAAAACAAUAUUAAUUAACUCUUCCAUUACUAGUAAUCUUUUAUUAAAUACUCUAAAAGCUUUACUAGAAAUGGAGUAGCCAAGAAAGAUAGCUUCAUCAGAUUUAGCAUCAAAUUUACCUAAGCUAUCUUUGUCAUUAUUCAAAAUAAAAUACCGACAACCAAAAACAUG